UACGAAGGGGGCUAGCGUUGUUCGGAAUCACUGGGCGUAAAGGGCGCGUAGGCGGCCGAUCAAGUCGGGGGUGAAAUCCCGGGGCUCAACCUCGGAACUGCCUUUGAUACUGCAAAUCUCGAGUCCGGAAGAGGUGAGUGGAAUUCCUAGUGUAGAGGUGAAAUUCGUAGAUAUUAGGAAGAACACCAGUGGCGAAGGCGGCUCACUGGUCCGGUACUGACGCUGAGGUGCGAAAGCGUGGGGAGCAAACAGG
This 253-nucleotide ribosomal RNA is filed under the name uncultured bacterium. RNAcentral's name for it is "partial 16S ribosomal RNA". It matches the Rfam family "Bacterial small subunit ribosomal RNA", at positions 524 to 776 of the family's 1533-position model. The record is from RNAcentral.